GAUGAACGCUGGCGGCGUGCCUAAUACAUGCAAGUCGAGCGAACGGACGAGAAGCUUGCUUCUCUGAUGUUAGCGGCGGACGGGUGAGUAACACGUGGAUAACCUACCUAUAAGACUGGGAUAACUUCGGGAAACCGGAGCUAAUACCGGAUAAUAUUUUGAACCGCAUGGUUCAAAAGUGAAAGACGGUCUUGCUGUCACUUAUAGAUGGAUCCGCGCUGCAUUAGCUAGUUGGUAAGGUAACGGCUUACCAAGGCAACGAUGCAUAGCCGACCUGAGAGGGUGAUCGGCCACACUGGAGCGGAGACACGGUCCAGGCUCCUGCGGGAGGGAGCAGUAGGGGAUCGUCGGCAAUGGGCGAAAGCCUGACGGAGCAACGCCGCGUGAGUGAUGAAGGUCUUCGGAUCGUAAAACUCUGUUAUUAGGGAAGAACAUAUGUGUAAGUAACUGUGCACAUCUUGACGGUACCUAAUCAGAAAGCCACGGCUAACUACGUG
This 497-nucleotide ribosomal RNA is filed under the name uncultured bacterium. Its description in RNAcentral is "partial 16S ribosomal RNA". It matches the Rfam family "Bacterial small subunit ribosomal RNA", at positions 28 to 507 of the family's 1533-position model. The record is from RNAcentral.